UUAAACCGCCCGGGAACUACGAGACCAAUCUUAAAACCCAAAGGACUUGACGGKGUCCCACCCACCUARAGGAGCCUGUUUUUUAAUCGACACCCCCCGAUAUACCUCACCACUUCUAGCCUCUUCAGUCUGUAUACCUCCGUCGCAAGCUUACCAUGUGAACGCAUGAGUGAGCCAAAAGGCUUACCGCCAACACGUCAGGUCAAGGUGCAACUCACGAAGUGGCAAACAAUGGGCUACAAUUUCUAUUAUAGAACACACGAAAAACUGCAUGCAACACAGUCAUGAAGGUGGAUUUAGUAGUAAAAAGAAAAUAGAGAAUUCUUUUUAAUCAAGGCGCUGGGACGCGU
This 350-nucleotide ribosomal RNA is filed under the name Cophyla pollicaris (common giant treefrog). Its description in RNAcentral is "partial 12S ribosomal RNA". It matches the Rfam family "Bacterial small subunit ribosomal RNA", at positions 864 to 1384 of the family's 1533-position model. The record is from RNAcentral. Lineage: Eukaryota; Metazoa; Chordata; Amphibia; Anura; Microhylidae.